RNAcentral lists this ribosomal RNA (433 nucleotides) under uncultured bacterium. Its description in RNAcentral is "partial 16S ribosomal RNA". It matches the Rfam family "Bacterial small subunit ribosomal RNA", at positions 29 to 507 of the family's 1533-position model. The record is from RNAcentral.
AACGAACGCUGGCGGCAGGCCUAACACAUGCAAGUCGAGCGAGGACUUCGGUUCUAGCGGCGGACGGGUGAGUAACGCGUGGGAAUGUGCCCUUCUCUACGGAAUAGCCCUGGGAAACUGGGAGUAAUACCGUAUACGCCCUAUUGGGGAAAGAUUUAUCGGAGAAGGAUCAGCCCGCGUUGGAUUAGGUAGUUGGUGGGGUAAUGGCCUACCAAGCCGACGAUCCAUAGCUGGUUUGAGAGGAUGAUCAGCCACACUGGGACUGAGACACGGCCCAGACUCCUACGGGAGGCGGCAGUGGGGAAUCUUAGACAAUGGGGGCAACCCUGAUCUAGCCAUGCCGCGUGAGUGAUGAAGGCCUUAGGGUUGUAAAGCUCUUUCAGCUGGGAAGAUAAUGACGGUACCAGCAGAAGAAGCCCCGGCUAACUCCGUG